Molecule: long non-coding RNA, 555 nt
Filed under: Eucalyptus grandis
Lineage: Eukaryota; Viridiplantae; Streptophyta; Magnoliopsida; Myrtales; Myrtaceae
Description: long non-coding RNA (EGRA_LNC006405)
Source: RNAcentral
CUGAUCCAAUCUGCUCGCUCUGCAAUGCACACCCGGAAACCACCGAGCACCUGUUUCUCCUCUGCAAGUGGACAAAGAAAAUAUGGACAGACCCACGGAUUAAUCUCAUGUGUAAACCCACGCACAUAUCCAGGUUUGAUAAAUGGUUGAAGGAAAGCUUCGAAGGCAACCACCACUCACCCGAGAAGGAACUAGUGGCGAUGGUCCUCUGGUUUAUAUGGAAAGCCCGCAACGGAACCAUCUUCAGAGCAAAACCGCCCGAUCCGAACACAAUCGUAGAUCUUGCACAAGCAAACCUCCAGAAUUUUAGAAGAUGGCACAACACAAGCGAAGCUAAGAACCCCACAGACUUGUACUUACCGAGAAGGUGGAGACCGCCGGACAGAGGAACCCUGAAACUAAACGUCGAUGGCUCGUGGGUACCAGGAGAACCGGUUGGAUCCGUCGCCGGAAUACUGAGGAAUCACGCCGGACAAGUGGUGGAUGGCUUCAUCAGCGAUAUCCGAGCCUCUUCAGCCGUGCAUAUCGAAACCCUAGCUAUUUUGAAGGGACUGG